RNAcentral lists this transfer RNA (70 nucleotides) under Dipodomys ordii (Ord's kangaroo rat). It matches the Rfam family "tRNA". Rfam says of the family: Transfer RNA (tRNA) molecules are approximately 80 nucleotides in length. Their secondary structure includes four short double-helical elements and three loops (D, anti-codon, and T loops). The record is from Rfam by way of RNAcentral. Lineage: Eukaryota; Metazoa; Chordata; Mammalia; Rodentia; Heteromyidae.
GGAGCUGAGGCUCAGUGGUAGAGUAUUUGCCUUGUAUUCAAAAGGCCCUAAGUUCCAUUCCUCGGUACCA